This 578-nucleotide ribosomal RNA is filed under the name uncultured bacterium. RNAcentral's name for it is "bacterial SSU rRNA". It matches the Rfam family "Bacterial small subunit ribosomal RNA", at positions 338 to 916 of the family's 1533-position model. The record is from RNAcentral.
CCUACGGGAGGCAGCAGUGAGGAAUAUUGGACAAUGGGCGCAAGCCUGAUCCAGCCAUGCCGCGUGCAGGAAGACGCAUCUAUGGUGUGUAAACUGCUUUUGUACGGGAAGAAACACUCCCUCGUGAGGGAGCUUGACGGUACCGUAAGAAUAAGGAUCGGCUAACUCCGUGCCAGCAGCCGCGGUAAUACGGAGGAUCCAAGCGUUAUCCGGAAUCAUUGGGUUUAAAGGGUCCGUAGGCGGUUUAAUAAGUCAGUGGUGAAAGCCCAUCGCUCAACGAUGGAACGGCCAUUGAUACUGUUAGACUUGAAUUACUAGGAAGUAACUAGAAUAUGUAGUGUAGCGGUGAAAUGCUUAGAUAUUACAUGGAAUACCAAUUGCGAAGGCAGGUUACUACUAGUGGAUUGACGCUGAUGGACGAAAGCGUGGGGAGCGAACAGGAUUAGAUACCCUGGUAGUCCACGCCGUAAACGAUGGAUACUAGCUGUUGGGCGCAAGUUCAGUGGCUAAGCGAAAGUGAUAAGUAUCCCACCUGGGGAGUACGUUCGCAAGAAUUGAAACUUCAAAUGAAUUGACGG